UAGGGAAUCUUCGGCAAUGGGGGGAACCCUGUCCGAGCAACGCCGCGUGAGUGAAGAAGGUUUUCGGAUCGUAAAGCUCUGUUGUUAAGGAAGAACGAGUGUGAGAAUGGAAAGUUCAUACUGUGACGGUACUUAACCAGAAAGGGACGGCUAACUACGUGCCAGCAGCCGCGGUAAUACGUAGGUCCCGAGCGUUGUCCGGAUUUAUUGGGCGUAAAGCGAGCGCAGGCGGUUAGAAAAGUCUGAAGUGAAAGGCAGUGGCUCAACCAUUGUAGGCUUUGGAAACUGUUUAUCUUGAGUGCGGAAGGGGAGAGUGGAAUUCCAUGUGUAGCGGUGAAAUGCGUAGAUAUAUGGAGGAACACCGGUGGCGAAAGCGGCUCUCUGGUCUGUAACUGACGCUGAGGCUCGAAAGCGUGGGGAGCGAACAGG
This 429-nucleotide ribosomal RNA is filed under the name bacterium. RNAcentral's name for it is "partial 16S ribosomal RNA". It matches the Rfam family "Bacterial small subunit ribosomal RNA", at positions 355 to 776 of the family's 1533-position model. The record is from RNAcentral.